Molecule: ribosomal RNA, 429 nt
Filed under: Bacteroidota bacterium
Lineage: Bacteria; Pseudomonadati; Bacteroidota
Description: Bacteroidetes bacterium partial 16S ribosomal RNA
Rfam family: Bacterial small subunit ribosomal RNA
Source: RNAcentral
UAGGGAAUCUUCGGCAAUGGGGGGAACCCUGACCGAGCAACGCCGCGUGAGUGAAGAAGGUUUUCGGAUCGUAAAGCUCUGUUGUUAAGGAAGAACGAGUGUGAGAAUGGAAAGUUCAUACUGUGACGGUACUUAACCAGAAAGGGACGGCUAACUACGUGCCAGCAGCCGCGGUAAUACGUAGGUCCCGAGCGUUGUCCGGAAUUAUUGGGCGUAAAGCGAGCGCAGGCGGUUAGAUAAGUCUGAAGUUAAAGGCAGUGGCUCAACCAUUGUAGGCUUUGGAAACUGUUGAACUUGAGUGCGGAAGGGGAGAGUGGAAUUCCAUGUGUAGCGGUGAAAUGCGUAGAUAUAUGGAGGAACACCGGUGGCGAAAGCGGCUCUCUGGUCUGUAACUGACGCUGAGGCUCGAAAGCGUGGGGAGCGAACAGG